This 319-nucleotide unclassified non-coding RNA is filed under the name fungal sp. RNAcentral describes it as "partial internal transcribed spacer region". The record is from RNAcentral. Lineage: Eukaryota; Fungi.
AAGUCGUAACAAGGUUUCCGUAGGUGAUCAUAGCCCGGAAAGUUGUAGUGAUUCAGAGACCUCUGGCUACGAACAUUGGAACAGUUACAAUCGAGCGGUAGUUCUAUAGGCAAUGUUUCCCCAAGCAGUCAGUGUCGGAAAGUGUCAUUGAUUGUGCAAGGAUAGCGCUUCUACGAUUCCUGUAGACCGUACACUCGGGCAGGAGCUUUGCCAAAGGGUCCCCAUGCCCCCUAAUAACCCCACAGUUUAAUGUGAAGCUCAAUGUAAUACAUUGGGUAAAAAAACCGAACAACUGUUAACAAUGGAUAUCUUGGUUCUC